UCUUGAUCUCUUUGGCUACUUCACUAAAAUUGUAAUACGCCAAGCCGGUGGCGGAUUUAAAGGCGAGGAGAAGAGCUGAUGUUAUUGGUCAAUACAGGUCUCGGCUGUGUUACAGUAAAUCCACUCCACGCCCUCUCUCCUCCCUAGCUAUGACUUACGCCGCUGGGAGGAGCUGAGUUAGGGAGGGGGGACACUUACGCCGGGCUGUGCCGCUCACCAUAAUACAAAAAUUGUACUUGGGAACGCCUUGUCGGCGCAGCUUUUUUCGUGCCUCGCCAGAGAUGGUCGUGGUGGCGCCCAGCUUGGCGGCUCUCGGUGCGCCUCAGUCCACGAAAAUACCAAACUGGCUGUACACCGGGCUCCGCCAGAUGUAAAUACAACUGUGCGGGGUCCGCCACUCUCCGCCGCUUCCCCGGAGUCCACGAAAAUAGAGCCCAGAGUGUCUUCAUGUUCUUAGGCAUAGGAUACAGUGCAGGUAUGGACAGCCCACAGUAACCAUUGACUUUAUGUAGAUAUGGACAACAGGACUUUCUAUCCUCCUUUCCUAUUAUAAAGAAUAGGGCUAAAACGGACACUGACAUACUGCACUAGUGACACAUUUUGGAGCCAAAAUAUAAUGGCAUAUCCCUCUGCCAACGUUUGCACAUAGUAAUCUUCCUUAUAAAGAUCCCUCAGGUUUGUACACUUCUUAGCAAAAUGGAUCUCUGUGCCUGUUUGAAGCAGUUUCUCAUUGAAAAUUGAGUCAAUCCUCUGUGACAGGAUGUCACGUCCCCUCCUUUCUGGCAUUAAAGAAUAAAUCAAAAUUAAAUGAAAAUAAACACAUGCACUUAAAGUUCCUGUGAGGAGUUUUGUUUUAAAUGUUUUAUGUUUUAAAAAGUAAAUUGGAAAGCUGUCUUCUCAUGAUAUUGAAAGCAAACAAGACCAUCAGCGACAUUCUUUACAAUUGUUUUAUCAUAAUUUGUAAUGACUGAGGCCAAUGUGAGGGGGGUAGGUGUCAGCCAAGCAGCUGAGGAUACAGCCUGGUUUAUACAGUUUCCACUUAAAGUAUUGAUAAUCAAUGAUUUAUAUUACUGUCAGAAGUCAGCAAGAUGAGAUUUUCCUGUCAAAAGGAACUACUGAAACAUUGGCUCAUCAGCACAGUCCAUCAUCCAACACCUUAUUAAAGAUUAAACCAGCGCAAGACACUAGUUUGACAUAACUGUGCUGAGGUGGAAAGUAUUUGUUGUUCAUGAAGGACAGAACUCUCGUAGUCAUUUUUAUAAGAUGGUACCUUAGAGAGCUGUUUAAAAGCUGAAGGAGCCCCUCUGUGUCCAACCAAAUGAUCUCAAACCCUAGACAAACCUGAAAUUCCCAUCACCAGAAGCAUAUGCUGAAGUUGUUGGCUUUGGAAAGAAGAAAAUUCCAAACGCUGCUCUUACAUAGUAACACAGAUCACAAACAACUUGAGCAGGAGUGUAUGGGCUUUGUAGAUUUCAAGUAAUCCGAGGAUCUGCAUGGAUAUAAUGUGUGUGAAUCAUUCACUGCAGCAGUAAAUUGGCAAACUCCUGUGUUUUUUGCAGGUUUUUAGCUACUGUCAACCUGAAUUAAGUUUGACCAAAUUAACUGAUGAAUUGUUAUCAAAGAUAAUGCCUUUUUUUGCUCAAUAAAGGUUGACAGAGUUCAAUUUUGAUUAUUUAAACUAUGCUCUGACUUCAGGGAAAUGAGGGAAGUUUCUUUCUCAGUUGUUUUUGACUGUGACUGAAAUGAACAUCAGCCAACUCUUCUCCUUUUACUUAUCACAUGAAUACCAUUGUAACAACACAACAACCAGAUAGGGGAAGCACCAACAGUUUUGGCUUCAUCUUUACAGAACUAUCAGGUUGUCCAUUUUUAAUACAGCCUAUGGCAGUUACCCAAAGAAGAAGGAGGCAAGAUAUCCACAACUAAAUAUGGUUGACAGUACUGAAAAGGGCCAAAGCCAGCCAAAGGAUAGCAAUUCUUUGAUGAAAGGAUGUUGUAAACAUCAGUAAUAGUUGUCUGCCUGGGAAGGAAUCUGUGACAAGUUUUGUGUCUGAAUAAGCCAGUGCAUUACCACAGCCAAAUGUCUCUUGGAAAUCCAGUCCUGUUUAACAUUCAUAACAGUCUCACAGAGUAGAUUAGAUAAAAACACUCAGAUGCUUUAGCAUAAACAAGUGAAAUUAAACUGCAGAUUGGCAUCACAAAACACAGUCAUUCCAGAGGGAUGCAUUUACAACCAUUAUGCAGUGUUUGACAAUUGCACUCUAUUUCCACUUGCUGCUCUCUCCCGUUUUCUCAAUGACUUUGCAACACUCUACAAACUCUUAAUAUUGAAAGUGGCGACAGCCUGUGUUAUCUCUCUGCCUCCUCUUUCUCUUUAUUCUUCUCACACGCUCCCUUAUGAAUGCCAACACACAGUGAUCUCUCUUAUUGUGCUGCAGAUUAUUCUGCUCAUGACAAGAGAUUUAGGAGUGUACGGCUGGUGCAUUGGCUCUAAUAGCCUACAGAAGCCCAAAGAGAGAACUGAACAAUAAAUCUCUCAUUUGUGACUGUUAAAUAAUACUAAUUAAUAAGAAGAAUUAGCAUUCAAAAACAUUAUUUUUUUUGAAGCAAUUGUGUGUGUUUGUUUAUAGUUCUCAAGCUGGUACCAAAUCAUUUAGUUGAACCAGCAAACCACAAAGUUGCAGCCCAAGGAGUCCUUGCAGGAAAUCAAAGGAUUCAACAUAUAAAAUAGAAUAGUCCUUUAUUGCCAUUGUAACAGGUACAACGAAAUUUGAAUACAUGAAAGUAUUGAUCAAAUGAGAUUCAGGUUUUGUUUUUGUUUUUGUAGUUAGGCAUGAUGUGUAAUAAAACAGUGGUGGUUUAGAUACAAAGGUAGUGGACUUUUUAUAAUAUAAAAAACAAUAUUUCAUACCUUUAGCUAUUUGUAAAACUUUGAAUGUGAUCGACUUCUCUAAGCCUAAUGGAUAGGUUGGAUGAGGUCAAAUUUUGCAGCUUUGAAUUUCUUUGUGAGUAAAGUUUUGAAAUGUUUGUGGACAUGAUUUUGCACCUGGAAAGACACCAAAAGGAAUCUGUGACAUUUCUUCUUUAACUGCCAUGAUAACGAGCGUAGUGUCUAGUGUUUCUACAGAUAAAUGCAUCUUUUUCUUUCACUUUUAAACUUCAUCUCAAUGUGCUUCAAAGAUUUGAUACAAAGCAUUUUAUAGAAGAAAACUGAUCACAUGUAUUGAAUUGUCCAGUUUGCAACACCAAGUUUGAAAAGAAACUCAUCAGGGAACAAAAAUAUUAGCGUUCAUUGCUUAAUAUCAUGUGCCUUUGAUCGGCAAGAGAUGCUUUAAUUUCAAUAUGAAAUGGUAAACCAAAAAAAGCAAAAAAAAAGCUGAUAAAGCUCCAAUUUCUUCUAUCGCACUAUAACAGAUAAGAUCAAUUACCCACUACUAUUUUAUAAACCAAACACAUGUGGGUUUUGUCUAGAUCUGAAAGCAAUCAAGAGUGUUUAGACUACACGUGGAUGAUUGUUGUUCAUGGCAGUUUAAAUGCCAGUAAAAAUCAAUAGAAGGACAACUUCAAGCGAAAAUACAUAAAACAAACAAACAAACAAACAAUUGUUUUAGAUAGCCUUGCUUACUUAGCCACAGUUUGUGUGGUGAACCAUAUGUUUAAAAAUAGAGGCAAACGUAUGCUUUAGAACCAAUGUGAAUGCACCACUAGUAAAGCAAAUGUUAACAAUGGAAAGAUUAUUUGCUGGAAUAAAAGCAAUAUGAUAGUGCACAUAGAAUAAAUUAAUGUAUUGUUUCAACCUGCAAAGCUCACUGGUGCUUUGAUUUAAUGGAGAAUGUUAGAUAGGUGCUUUGAACUAUUAAGUCUUUUAAAAGGGCAAAUGUAUAUGACUUGCACACAAACCAAGAAGAUCAGUGGGCUAAAAAUUCAAAAAGCCAUGCACCAUAAUAAGCUUAACUAUUGAUAUGCCAGAUUUAACCAUCUUAAAAAAAAUCCCCAUUUGACAAGAAUAAAUGCAAUGAGUAUUUCAGCCAUUAUUCAAAGACUUUGCUGCACACUGACACACACAAAAAAAACAACUAAAUGUGUGACAAAGAACGUUAGUCGGUUAUCCGUGGUAGAUUUUAUCAACCUGUAACAUGUUGAAAAGUCAUUUUGAUUACAGUUGGUCUUAUUUGCAGUAUGAAGAGUCUUCCUCAUAGCAUGAAUCUUUUUCAUCUGUUCAGAUAUUUGCAUGAUAAAACAUUUGUGCAGAACUACUGUGCCACGAUCUAAUGCUCAUACCUUACACUGUUGUACAUAUAGGUUUAAAGUGGUGCCCUUGCUCUUUUCUUCAUUCUAUGUGAGUCUUUUAAAUUAACCUGGUAUAUAAGUAGAGGAGGCAUUGGUGGUAUGUGCAUUCUCCGUCUUAUUGUCUAUAAAACAUGGCAUUACAAUUUGCAGUACAAAAUGCAUUAUUGCAUGAGUAGGGCCCGUACCUUACCUUAUAAAGAGGUCUCAACUCACAGUUUGAAAACAACCUGAUUUGGUUGGACUGUGUGCCGUUUACUGUGUACAUUAUUUAUAUACAAUUUUAGAUGGUUCAGUAAGGGACUGCCCAUUGUUUUGAGAGACCAUAAAACCAAAAUCCUAAUAGUCAUAAGAGGUGUAAUGGAGUUGAACAAGAAAUGUCAAAGGCAGAUAUACUCCUGCUGUCUAAAUGAGUGUCUUGGUUCAAUUUGCAUUUAACUGAUUUGAAUUAUUAUCAAGGUGGUUUUCUGCUGUCCUGUGAGGUACCAUUACAUCCCCAUUUGUUAGGGUUGGUGGCUGAGGAAUGCAGUUUGAGUGUCAGAGUUAUAGAAGAACAAGUAUGUCAGCAUGUGUGUAUAAAAAGAGACAACUCCUGUAAUUCAGCACCAUGGACAGAGCCAGCAGUCAUCCUGUAAAACCUACAGGGUGAAUGAGUUUUAGCAAAGAUCUGUGUCAACAAGUUUUGGGACUUUGGGGUAUUCUGAAUAAUGGGCUUUUGUGUUCUGGAUCAUAGGCUGUCAGGCACAUAUGUUCUUGGUCCAUUGGGGGUUUCUACAGACUGUUAGGGUUUCAUAUAAAUGGCCUUUCAGAACAAUGGUAUGGCACAGUAAGGUUGACAUUAUAUGCAAUGUAUGAUUUUUUUUAAUAGAAUAAAUAAAAUACAAAAGUGUUGCAAACUACUGUUUCGUAAGAUUUGCACAGAAUUGCUGAAUUGUGAAUGUUAUGUAUUGUUCAAUUUUCCAGUAAAUUCUUCAAACCUUUCAUUUAUGCAGAACUAGUGCAUACAGACACUCAUUUGCACAAAAAAUGUUUUUAAGGUUUGAUAUCAUUUGGAAAGAUCUUACUUCAAGAAAAAGCUUACCCUUUCACUCAAAAUGAACACUCAUGGCCUUGUUUCUUUGUGCAUGACUCUUUUGACUACUGUACCUUUAAAAAUAUUUUUUGGCAUGUUUCUUAUUCUCUUACCUGUUCAAGUCUUGUCAAAUUUUAAUGCAAUAAAAUAAUGUUUGGGUGUCUACAUUUCUUCCUUUCAUUGACACAUAGAAUCAAACAAUGAAGCAUCACUCCUUGGUCUAUAGUAAUAAACUAGACCAGUGCUAACUCAAAAUCCAAAACAGAACAGAAAAAGUAUAAAAGACUUCAGCUAAUGAAAGUUGGGUUAAUUUUCAUUGCUUGAUUGCUAGCGGGCUAGAGAUUAUUGCUGACUUCCAAACAAAAUCUCAUAGUUUAACUAUUAGCGAAAAAAAUGUAUCACAUAUCUGUAUCACUAAAGCAAAGAUAGGCCACAAAGUUAUUAAAUUAUUAGAAGAAUAGUAAUAGCAAAACAAUACAAACUUUAUAAUUUGAAAAAAUUAAAUGUAGGAGAUUUAAGGGUCUGUGUGGCUUAUUAGCCACAUUAGUGAUAUCUG
RNAcentral lists this long non-coding RNA (5915 nucleotides) under Xyrichtys novacula (pearly razorfish). The record is from RNAcentral. Lineage: Eukaryota; Metazoa; Chordata; Actinopteri; Labriformes; Labridae.